This 441-nucleotide ribosomal RNA is filed under the name uncultured bacterium. RNAcentral's name for it is "partial 16S ribosomal RNA". It matches the Rfam family "Bacterial small subunit ribosomal RNA", at positions 338 to 795 of the family's 1533-position model. The record is from RNAcentral.
CCUACGUGUGGCAGCAGUGGGGAAUAUUGGGCAAUGGGCGCAAGCCUGACCCAGCAAUGCCGCGUGAAGGAAGAAGGCUUUCGGGUUGUAAACUUCUUUGACAGGGGAAGAGCAGAAGACGGUACCCUGAAAACAAGCCACGGCUAACUACGUGCCAGCAGCCGCGGUAAUACGGAGGAUGCGAGCGUUAUCCGGAGUUAUUGGGUUUAAAGGGUGCGUAGGCGGAAUGCCAAGUCAGCGGUAAAAUCGCGGGGCUCAACCUCGCUCCGCCGUUGAAACUGGCGUUCUUGAGUGGGCGAGAAGUAUGCGGAAUGCGUGGUGUAGCGGUGAAAGGCAUAGAUAUCACGCAGAACUCCGAUUGCGAAGGCAGCAUACCGGCGCCCAACUGACGCUGAAGCACGAAAGCGUGGGUAUCGAACAGGAUUAGAUACCCUGGUAGUC